AAUACUUUUUGAAACUAUUUUUAAAAUUUUUAUUUUCAAAUAUUUAUUUUUUAUUUUAUAGAAUUUUAAACUCAAUCCCAAAUCUCUACCCCUUAACUCUAAACCCUAAGGUUUGAAUUAGUUAACCCUAGAAGUAUAAUUGUAUUUACCUCUUUAAUGAAACAUUUUGAUCAUUUUCUUCAUUGUGGUCUAUUUUUGUGACUAAAACUUUUUUAAUGUUAUCUUAGGAUAUUUCUCAUAUAAUUAAUGUUCAGCUUAACAGUAUUCAGAUACGCAUAUGGGUUUUAUAUGGAUUCAAAAUAUCUGAAACUUUUGAGUGGAUAUGACUAUUUUCAUGUGUUUUUUUUUCUAUAUCUAAUCUAUUAUUAGCUUAGGGUUUUACUUUUAUCUACUAUCUAAAGUUAUUAAAUUUUGGACCAUUUCAUAAAUAUUACUACAAUAUAUCACACUACCUUAUAAAUAGAACCUACCUACUUAAACUUAAAACCGACGUCGGUUAAUUAAACAUAACCAAUGUCAUAUUAAAAAUACGUUUGGUUCUCUUAAUAGAACUAGAACAUACAAAACUGAAUUGCUCUUAUACUAAUCAAUACACUACUCCUUUUAUAAUGUGUCUUCAAUACUUAUUCUAUAUGGACAUCAUGUUUGUAAACAAAACCGUGUUUGCCAUAUCACUAACUUCAUUUGCAACAUAUCAAAAUCCAUUCAUAUUUUGGCCAUACAAAUCUUUCAGAACACUAACUGCACAUGCAUCUAAGCUCGAGUCAUAUACAUAUUAGAUUAGGUUCACCUUUUGCAUUACAUAAGUUUUUUUUUUGGUUUACCAGAUCACAGCAUACAAUUCAUACAUGUAUAUAAGAUUACUCUUUUGUUUCCUCAUAUUUCAGAACACUAACUGCACCUGCAUUAAGCUUGAAUCAUAUGAAUAUUAGAUUAGAUUCACCUUUACAUUACAUAAGUUUUUAUUUGUUUAUCGUAUCACAUCAUACAAUUCAUAUAGGUAUAUAAGAUUACUCUUUUGUUUCCACCAAAAUUACGUGUAUUGCAAACAAAAAAUCCACCAAGAACAACAUACUUUCUUGUUACUUUUCCUUAAAUCUAUUUUAUUAAAAAAUAUCUAUUCUAUUAAAAGGAAAGCAGUCUUGAAAAAUCUACUUAUACAAAGUUGUUUGGACUAUUUUCUAAGAGUUAAUAAUUUCAUAGUCCUACUUAAAUUUCUCCUAACAAAAUAUUUUCAUAUAUUUCUUUGAUUUUCUUUAGAUAUUAUAAGUGUGUCACUCCUAUAUUUAUGGUAACUAUUAUAUUACCUUCUAUAAAUCUCACCCCUUGAUUAUAAAUUUCUCCAUUUAUUUAUUGAUAUCCCAUAUACGAUUUACUAACCAACAUUUUUUGAUGCAAUAAUAUAUAAACUCGUGGGUCAAUAGACUAAUCUAUUGUGUAAGUGACCAUAUUUAUAUUAUAUAAUGUUUAUUUUAAUUCUUAAAUUCAUAUCUAUAUAAAAUGAAUGGUAUGGUGCAUAUCACCAUUAAAUAAAACAUGUCAUUUGAAUUAAAAUAGUCUGGUAAGUAAUACAUGUAUUUUUAAAAAAUGAGUUAAUGAAGUAUGAUAAAUAAUUAUCACAAAAUCAUGUUUUACUAUAGAACCGAUCAAACUUAGUAGUAUAUUAUAUUAUUCUGAGUUCAUAAAAAAUGAUAUUAACAUAUAAGUACUGAAUAAAUUUGAAAAAAUGCAUAUGAAGUUAGUUAAAAAAUUAUCCUCGGGCCAACUUAUUUAAUUGAGAUUUUACUAUAAUUCAGAUACAACCACUUAAACUACAUUAUGAAAAAUUAAAAAAUACAAAUAAUUUUGAAAAUAUUGCUCCAUAUUCUCUCUUUUUUUUAUAAAAAAUAAGUUGACUUGAUUUUUACUUAUGAAGCACAAUUACUAAAAUCCAAAAUAAUGAUUAGUCUUUUUUUUUUGGGCAACAAAUAAUGUUUAGUAUAAAAGAUGCUCAAAUACAAGUCCACUUCUGUAAUUCAAUUUAAAUAACAAAAUAAAUUUACAAAUAUAAUUAGGUUCAGAAUUAAUAUUUAUAUUAUUUGAGUUUCAAGCUUGCAGGUUUCCGCGGGUUAUUCAAUCAUAUAUUAUAUACUAAACACAUUGAGAUUGGUAUAAACUCUUCACUAGGUUUGGAAUACCUAAGUUAAAUAAGAUUUUUCUCUUUUGAAAAAGUAUUAACCCCGUGCUUCAAAACUUGAUUCAAAAUUUUGAAUUGAGUUUUGAAAAUAUACCAUCCAAUUUAUAUGGGAUUUUAUCGGGUCAACCAAUAUUGGAUAGCGGGUUAAUGAUAGUUUUUACGUUUUUACCGACUUUUAUCAGAUUUUUAUAUAUAAGGUUUUAACAAAAUUCAGACCAUAUUUAUAUGAAUCACCUGAUUUACUUCUGAGACUGUAGGUUUGGUUCGGGUAUAAAAACACUGCUAAAACUAUUAAAAAUUCUACAAUAUAUAUACUAUUAGAUUAGCCCAAAAUCUACCAAUUAAAUUUUUUUGUCUCAUCAACUCAACAGAUAUAACUCUUAAAAAUACACACAAAAUACAACGAUGACGUUGUAACAUAAGAAUACACAUAUAAAAUCUAAAAUAAACUAUUUGAUAAAUUAUAUAAUUUUAAACUAAAAUUCUUUUACUUUUUCGAUAUAAUAACACUUUAUAACUUAAUAAUAUACUUCAAAACAUCAAAACCAAAAUAAUAAUUCAUAUCAAACAAUAUUCUUAAUCGGAAAAAAACCCGCGCUUUUGAAGCGCGGGUCAAAAUCUAGUAUUCUAUUAAAAGGGAAGCAGUCUUGAUAAAUCUACUUAUAAAAGUUGUGCGGACCCUUUCAUUUAACUAAUCUAUUAUAUUAUGGCCUGCCCUAUAUUUCAGGUAACAAUAGUCACCAUAAAUUACUCUAACAAUAUGUCAAUAUGUUUGUUUACUAAGCUCACGUCUUUUGGCACCCGAUAAUUUUAUACCUCAUCCUAUAUCCUUGCUUUUUCUUUGUUGACAUUAUAUUUUAGGAUUAUAAUAUACCUUAUACACAUAAUAUUAUAUUUAGUUGUAGUACACGGUACAUAUUUAAAUCCUCCUUCAAUGUCUCAUAUUUACAUCUUAGUUUUAAAAGCUUUUCUUUAACAAUGGAGAAUUUAGAAUGCAGUCAUCUAUGUUUCAUUACAUGUCUUCUCCUCUUAUAUCAAAAAUAAGAGGUGUCAAUUACUUGAAAAGAUUAUACCUUAUACCAUCUCUAUACAUUAUCAAAAGUGACUGACCAUAACAUUUUGAAAAAAAAUCUACUUAUAAAAAAAUUGUUGGACCCUUUCACUACUACUUAACCUUUAUUAUACACAAAACACAACCAAUUAUUUUUAUUUAUUACACUAUUUAAUUAACUAUGUAAAUAUAAUGUAUAUUUUCAAAAUAUGGGAUCCAUGCUGUUAUGAUUCCAGAUAUCUUCGUAUAUAUUAUAUUUAUUAAGUUGGUAAAUACAAUUAUUACUGGAGUUAUAUAUGUUGUUGCUCUUUUGACCUUACAUGUCAUGGAGCAUUUACCCUCUAACACAUUAUAUAUACUUUUUUCAUAUUAAAUAUCAUAAUUAAUGUGUUGUCUUAUAUUAAAUAACAUUAAACUGGGUAAAUAACAUAAUGUGUUGUCCUAUAUAAUAUAGUUAUAUUGAUGUUUUAAUUAAUAGUAUUUUUAUACUUUAAUCCUAUUUAAUGUUUUUAGCAUAUAUAAAUAGUGUACAAUGUAUAUUUUUUCAUUUAAAAAAAGGUUGUUGGACCCUUUCAUUAGACUUAACUAUUUUUUUGGUCUUACUUUAUAUUUCUCUAACUAUAUAAAUGCUUUAGAUAAUUUAAAUGAACUCAUUUAUUAUUCUCCCAUAACUUUUUUUAACGCUAAUUUAUUAUGAUCUUACAAUUAUGAUAUGAGAAAGAUAUUCUACCAUAAUCUAUUAUAUAAUAACUAUUCUAACAAGAAAUUUCCUAGAAUAUAUGACAGAUUAAUCAAACAUAUUUACACAUGACGUGAUUAUUACCACAUAUAGUUCCACUAAUAAUAUAAAUUUUUAAUGGUUUAAUUAUUUUUAAUAUAGGUUGUAAUGGAGAAUCCUCUGAUGUAUAACAAUUUUUUUUAUUUACGUGAAUUGAAAACUAAAAGCAUUAUCGUUAACUAUUCAAAUAUGAAACUUUAAUUUAAUUAAUUACAUGCAAUAAAUUAUUAAGGUUUGAUCUUACAUUCUUAUAUACGAACUAAAUGAUUAAUCUUACCAUAAAUAAAUAUCAAAUGGGUCUAAACGGGUUAGAGAUUUAAAUGUAAUUAGUAAAAGAAAACUGGUUUAAAUAGAACAUGUUAAUAUACUUUACAAAUUCUAACAAUGCAUAUGAUACGUUUUAUUGAAUUUUCACAAAUGUAAUAAAUCUUGCUCUUUAAAUCGGGUAGUUUAGGUUGUUUGGAAAAAAUAUAGGAUAAAUAAUUUUAAUUAAUUAUUUGAAUAAAAACAUUCAAGUCAUUAUUAUUUUUUUGCAUAAGUUUAUUUAUAAAUAGUAUUUUCAGGAUAUUUGGUUAUUUAGAAGUUAAAUAUAAUUAAUAUUUGUAGGUAUAUAAUUUAUAUUUUAAUCGGUUUCUAUUUUUUCGGUUCCAAAAAUAUAGGAUAUGCUCGAUUAUUUAUGAAAUUCAGCUUAAUUUUGGUUUUUUAGUUUGAUAUGGUUCAGUGCACCCGGUAAAUGUACCCAAACCUAUACAUUAUCUUAUAUAGAAGUUAUAUAAGAAGAAUUUAUUUAAUUUCAAAAAUAAAUCCGCACUUUUUAAGCGCGGGUCAAAAUCAGCGCGGGUCAAAAUCUAGUAAAUUAUUAAAUCAUCAAACAAAUUUUCUUAUAUUCCAACCUCGAUGUUUACCACCUGCCCAACUACAUUCAGAUUACAUAUCUAUUAUUCAAAUCAUAUGAAUAAUAGAUUUGAUCAAAUCUACACUAAUGCAUCUUCCAUAAUAAUAUCUUCAAACAACUUAAUAUUUUUUUUAAUUAAUUUUCCUUAAUCUGAUUUUUAAAUGAAAUAUUUUAAUGCUGAAAAACAACUUUCCUUAUAUUUCGAGCUUGCUAUUAAUCACCAUCACAACUACAUUCUGAUUUCAUAUCUUAACUAAGUAACUGAUUCAACAAACUACUGAAAUCAGAAUAUGCCUAAAGAUCUUCAUUAUACAUAUACUUACUAUCUAAUCACUAUAAAUAUGCUUCCAUGCCCUACUCUUUCUUCACCUCACAAUCAUAAAGUAAAAGACUCAUGGCUAUGGUUACUCCGAACGCAGUCCGACAUUGAACGAUGUCAAGCCAUUUAAAGAUACUUGGAAAGUUGAAAUCAGAGUUCUUCACUCAUGGACUCAACACUCAUCUUAUUCUGGUGGAGACUCUUUUGAUUUCAUUCUUCCGGAUAAGACAGUAAGUGUAUUAAUGGUUACACGGUUUUGUUAUUCUAAAAGUUCUAUUGUAAAAUGUCUAAACCGAUUUUGAUUAUUUUUUAAUGUAGGGUGUUAAGUUACAUUAUACCUACAAGAGGAACUUCUUUCCUCGUGUGAAGAAUCUCCAGGUUGGCCAAUGGAGGUUUAUUUAAAAUUUCUUAGUAACUCCAGCUAACGGAAAGUACCGACCAACGAACCAGAAAUACAAGAUGUCCAUCACAGGAAAUUCCAAUGUCACCAAUUCCGAACUGAAAAUCGAUGAUGAUUUCUUGACGUUGACUCCUUUACAAGCAAUCAUGAAUGGAAGCCUUGAUUCAAAAAAAUUAGUUGGAAAUACACGUUAGCGUUUUCAUAAUAUUUUUAUCAGCUUUGAUUUACAUUAAUUACUAUUUCGUUUUAAGGUUUUAGAUGAUAUUGGCCGUGCCACUGAUAUUGGCGAUCUUCAGGUUGUCCAAGUAAUUGGGAAAGAAAAAAAGAAGCCGGAACUUACAUUGACCGAUACAAAUGAUCAACACAUUGCAUGUUGUCUUUGGAGUCAUUUUUCUGAGGACAUGCAUGAUGUAUAUCGACAUGAGGAUCCUGAAGACUUGCCUGAUGUAUAUUUUAAAUUUAACGAAAAUAAAUUAAAAUAAGAUCAAAGUCAAAUUAAAAUAUUAAAAAGUAAACAAGAUUCACUACAGACGAAUAUGUACAACACAAAUUAUAACACCAAUCAAUUUUAUAUAUAUUUAAUAAAAUAUUAUAUAGAGUCAAAUAUAUAUAAAUAUUAUAUAAAAAAUUAAAAAUUAAUUUGACAAACAAAAAAUCAAAAUAACAUAACCUCAACUAAACCCAAAUUCAUAAAUAAUCAAAAUAUUACUAUAUUUCUUGAACCGAAAACCAAAAUCUACAAUCAAACCGGAACCAAACCAAAAAUAAAAAAUUAAUCUGGAGUCGAAUCAAUAUUUAGAAAAUAUUACCAAAUCAUAAAAUUGUAAUUUUAAACCAUAAAGUAUAAAUAUUUCCGCGCACAGUGCGGAUCCAUAUCUAGUUUUAGUUUAUAGUUAAGUUGUAAACAUUUAAUAGAUCUUUUAAGUAGUAUAAGAAUUUAAAUAUCUAAUCUAAAGUUCCUAUAAUGAUUAGUUUCAUUUACUUAUUUGUUUAUUUUCGGUUAUUUUGCGAAUUUUAAAGUAAAUUUGACAGAUUUCAAAUUAAAAAUAAGAGUAUUAUUGAAAUGUUUCGAUAUUUAUAUAUAUAUAUAAAAUAUUUGGAGCCAAAUUAGAAUCAUAAUUUUGUCAGCACAUUGUUCUUUCUUUUUCCACCACUGAAUAGAGAGGUCUCAAACAACUUUGUUUUGAUACAAUUCCGUAGUUCAGUUUAAUACAGGAGAAUGCGGAAGUAACUAAAUAACAUAUAAGAAAACAUUCUCCAACAACACUGAUUAUUAUUCUAUUCAUUACAAGAACACAUGCAUCUCAAAUCCCAUUUGAUGUGUCAUCUUAUUACAUUUUUUUGUCAAAGUAAUGUCAUCUUAUACAAAUAGAGAGCUGCCAUUUCCGUUAAUAGUUAAUUUUUCUGAUGCGAUUUUAUCACCGUACGCCACUAAUGCAAUAAGAUCAGCGUCCGUAAUCCUCUGAAAGAAAUUAACAUACUUAAAUCAACUACGUGUGAAUAGACUAAUUAAAUCGUAUUUAUCUCUAUUAAUAAUCAUAAAUGUGUGCAUGAGAAGAUAUAACAUAAGAAUGUAGAAACCUUUUUCUGCUUGGUUAACUCCCUGAAUCGUGAGAAAAUGUCGUUGAACUUCUCAUCACUGAUUUCAUAUCCUAUCUGAGAAAAGAAAAAAGAACACAUAAGUGUAAACAUAGUAACGAUUCUGUUCAUUAACAUAAAUACAAACAUAAUAAAGAUCAAAUUCAUAUAUAUAUGAAUGUGAUCAUUAUAUAACCAACAAUUAAGAACAAAAACUAAGAAAUCACAAGGGAUACCUUUCUUAGCCGAUCUUUCACAGCAUGACGUCCACUGCAUGCAUAUUUCCAUUGUUGUUAAUAUAAAUUCAACAAAAAACAUGUAAUCUUGCUUAUGCAAAACUAAGAAAUAACAUGUUACCUAAGCUUUCCAAGAACAAUGCAUGAAUCUUGAGAUUUUUCGGCCCCAAUGUCUUCUGGUGAGAAUAUUUCAUAUGUACUCCGAUGUUUCAAAAUUCCAUCCUGCAAAAUGUUUUAACAAUAUUCUUGGUAUCAAUCUCAGAUGUAUAUUUUAUUAGUCAUUUUGUUAAAGAUACGAAACCUGGUGAAUGCCGCUCUCAUGAACAAAACAGUUGGUACCUACUAUGGGUUUAUGUGGUUGAACAUACAAGCCAGUAUACUCUUGAACCUGCUCAAUACCACUUUAUAUUUUUUACUGAACUAUUAUAAUUAAAGGUCUAAAGAAAUUUGUAUUUACUUGUAUACAUAUUGUGUAUAUAUAAAAAGUUACCAUCUUGCUAGUAGCCAUGAUAUGGCGUGUGUCUAUUCUUGUGUAAACACCAUCCAUCACAUAUGCUCCACGACAUUUCAAAGCCAGUACAACCUACAUACCAAAUAAAUAUUCAUGGUGAUGAUGAUUAUUAUGGUAGUGAGUAUGGUACCUCUUCAAGCGAAGCAUUCCCACUUCUUUCGCCUAUUCCGUUGAUCGUUACUUCGACUUGUCUUGCUCCCGCACACACACCCUAAUAUAGGCUUUAUAUGUUUGUCAUCUUGAGAAUAUAUAUUUUGUCCAGCGAAUGUCUUAAUUAAACUAACACAAAUUAAAGAGUUAAUUAAGUACGGAGAUUUUCUUAAUUAGACUAACACAAAAUAGUUAAUUACGGAGAUUGUGUUGGCGGUAGCAAGACCAAGGUCGUUGUGACAAUGAAGGCUGAAGACAACAUCAUCAAUUCCAGGAGUGUUUGUUUUGAGAUAGGUCACCAUUUCUCCAAAUUCUUGAGGGAUGUUGUUCCCUACCGUGUCCGCGAGGGUCACCGUCGUUACGCCCUCAUUUAUUGCGUCUCCCAUAAUCUUGCAUAGAAAAUCCUUGUCUGAUCUGAAUCUCACACACACAUACACACAUUAGUACUUGAGAUACGAAAACGAACAUGGCCUAAAUAUAAAUGCAAAUGUAAGCAUAUAAGAUUACUAGUAUUUUGAAAUUUAUAUUUGGCAUGAUUAGUAUACAUGCAAACACCAUAACUCAACAGCUAAAAACUUUGCUAGAUUAUGUAUGACCUAGAUGACGUUCAGAUUAACUAUGCGUUUGUUUUUGCAUGUAAAAUUUUGGUUUUAAAAAGUGACUAUUUCAUUUUAAAAUUAUAUAAAUCUUCUUGUAAGAUAUAAAUGCAAAUGUAAACAUAUAAGAUUGGUAGGAAGAUUUUGAAUGUCAAAAAAGAAAUACCAGCAACGUGAAACCAAACGAACCAAACAAAUAAUAUUGAAACUAGGUAAGUGUCCGAACCUUAUGGGGACUAAUAUGUAUGUAUCUAACAAUAUUUAAAUUUAACAUAGAUCUUUUGUAUUUAAAAUUUUCAUCACGUGUGAUAAUCAAUUUAAAGUAUUUUUAAUAUGGUAUUCUUAAGUUUCAAGCUUUGAAAUUUGGCCGUCUUAACUAUCUCAUAUUAUAUCCCUAUUAGCAAUUGUUAGAAAACGUUCAUCUUUUUAUAAACUAAAAGUAAUAAUUACAUACGCCUAUUAAAAUUAAAAUUUUCUUCUUUUUUUUUUGUAGUUUUAAGAGGUGUUGUUUUUUUCUCUUCAGCCCAUAACUUUGUUAUAUUUUUUUGAGGGACAUAUCUUAGGUUCACCUCCUAUAGUGAACCUUUAAAUUCACUCCAUUCUUUAUGACCAAUCAAAUUUCCAAAUAGAUUAUUAAUUAAAAAAUAUUAAAUUAAAUAAAAAAUAGCUACAAAAAAUAAAUACGCUAAUUUUAACGACGCUGACGCUUCCACCUAAACCUUAAAUCUUAAAUUCUAAACCCUAUACUAUAAAUUCUAAACCUAAAAACUAGACUAUAAACCUAAACUCUAUACCCUAAACCCAAGUCCUAGACCCUAAACCCAAGUCCUAGACCCUAAACCCAAACCGUAAACCUUAAACCCAAAUUAUAUACCCUAAACCUAAAACUUUAACCAUAAGUCCAAACGGUAAAUCCUAAACCCAAACCGUUAAUCUUAAACCCAAAACCUAUACCCUAAACCCAAAUCCUAGACAUAAAACCCAAACGCUAAACCCAAAUCCCAAACUUAGAUGCUAUAGGGUUUGGGUUAAAGUUUACGGUUUAGGUUUAGGGUCUAAGAUUUGGGUUUAGGGUAUAGAGUUUAGGUUUAUAGUCUAUUUUUUGGGUUUAAGGUAUAUAAUUUGGGUUUAGGGUCUAGGAUUAGGGUUUAGGAUAUAGGGUUUUGGUUUAGGGUCUAGGAUUAGGGUUUAGAGUAUAGGGUUUGGGUUUAGGGGUUUGGAUUUGGGUUUAUAAUUUAGGGUAUAGGAUUUAGAAUUUAAAAUUUAGGGUUUAAGGUUUCGUUGGAAGCGUUAUCGUCGUUAAAAUUAGCAUUUUAAUUUUUUGUAGCUAUUUUUUAUUUAAUUUAAUAUUUUUAAUUAAUAAUUUAUGUGAAAAUUUGUUUGGUACUAAAAAGUGCCGUCUUUUUUGAGAAGUUUGGUAAGUUUCUGUGUAUUAUUACGCAUCAGCGUAAGAUGAAAAAUAUAUAAUAGAGUCGGCAAACUAUCAUAAUGCAAUAUUAAGAUGAAUACAAAUAUACAGCAAAGUUAUCUGUAUUAGAGUACAUAUUAUUAUAAUAUGACAUAUAUUACAAUAAAUAUCAUUUACAGAUUAUCUUUACUACUAUUGAACUAUAAACUACAAUAAAAAUUGACUAUUUCGCAUAUGCAAUAAGAAAUAUGAUUUAAAGAUAUACAUUAAUAAAUAUAAUUUUAAAACAAAAUAAUAAUAAUUGGUCUUCUUAACCUUUAGACCAAAAAGGAUUUGGUCUAAAACGCAGCCGUUUGUCUUAUUAUUUUAAAUACACUAAUUAAAAUAAUUUGCAGAUUAAUUGAUGUAUAUUUGGUGUUUUCAAAAUUAAUUUGAAAUUUUUACUAAAAAUAAUAAUAUGUAUAACCUUUUCUUUAUGGCCGGGACUUAUUAUCUGGGAUCCGAUUCGCUCCGAAAAUAGGAUAUCCGAAUUGCUCGGAUCUGGAUAGUAAAUCUCAGAUCCGUCAAAGUCGAAUCCGAAUAUCUUUAUUUUUAAAUUCAGAUAUUUUGAUCCAAAUCCAUAUUUUAAAACAUAUUAUAUUUUUUAUUUUAUUAAUAAUUACAUGUGAUAUAUAAUAUUUAUACAAAAAAUUAAUCUUAUAAUAUUAUGUUUGAACUUUAUAAUAUUAUAUACAUAACUUAAAUAUUUAUACAAUAUCUAUAUAUAUAUGUUAUUAUUAGAAUUUUUUUUUAAAAUUUUUUUUUAUUAAUAAUUACAUGUGAUAUAUAAUAUUUAUGCAUAAAAAAUAGACUUAUAAUAUUAUAUUUUAACUUUUAUAAUAUUACAUACAUAAAUUAUAUAUAUCUAUAUAUUUAUUUAUUAUUUUGAAUUUUAGUAUUUUUUUUAUUUAAUUAUUUUACAGAUCCAGAUCUGGAUAGUCAUAAAUAGAAAGAUCUGCACAUAUAUCAAGAAUCUUGAUAUUCAGAAGCCACGGAUCCUGAUCCUGAUCCAGAUACUAAAUCAACGGAUAAAUAUGUUUUCAUGGGAAAGGAAAAAAUUAUUUUUAAAU
Molecule: long non-coding RNA, 11207 nt
Organism: Brassica rapa (field mustard)
Lineage: Eukaryota; Viridiplantae; Streptophyta; Magnoliopsida; Brassicales; Brassicaceae
Source: RefSeq, a predicted model, not a curated record